This 125-nucleotide small RNA is filed under the name Marmota monax (woodchuck). The record is from RNAcentral. Lineage: Eukaryota; Metazoa; Chordata; Mammalia; Rodentia; Sciuridae.
GCCAGGUGCGGUGGCGCACGCCUGUCAUCCCAGCAGCUCUGGAGGCCGAGGCAGGAGGAUCGCGAGUUCAAAGCCAGCCUCAGCCAAAGCGAGGCUCUAAGCCACUCAGUGAGACCCUGUCUCUA